RNAcentral lists this ribosomal RNA (1142 nucleotides) under Escherichia coli. RNAcentral describes it as "partial 23S ribosomal RNA". It matches the Rfam family "Bacterial large subunit ribosomal RNA", at positions 1 to 1184 of the family's 2925-position model. Lineage: Bacteria; Pseudomonadati; Pseudomonadota; Gammaproteobacteria; Enterobacterales; Enterobacteriaceae. The record is from RNAcentral.
GUUAAGCGACUAAGCGUACACGGUGGAUGCCCUGGCAGUCAGAGGCGAUGAAGGACGUGCUAAUCUGCGAUAAGCGUCGGUAAGGUGAUAUGAACCGUUAUAACCGGCGAUUUCCGAAUGGGGAAACCCAGUGUGUUUCGACACACUAUCAUUAACUGAAUCCAUAGGUUAAUGAGGCGAACCGGGGGAACUGAAACAUCUAAGUACCCCGAGGAAAAGAAAUCAACCGAGAUUCCCCCAGUAGCGGCGAGCGAACGGGGAGCAGCCCAGAGCCUGAAUCAGUGUGUGUGUUAGUGGAAGCGUCUGGAAAGGCGCGCGAUACAGGGUGACAGCCCCGUACACAAAAAUGCACAUGCUGUGAGCUCGAUGAGUAGGGCGGGACACGUGGUAUCCUGUCUGAAUAUGGGGGGACCAUCCUCCAAGGCUAAAUACUCCUGACUGACCGAUAGUGAACCAGUACCGUGAGGGAAAGGCGAAAAGAACCCCGGCGAGGGGAGUGAAAAAGAACCUGAAACCGUGUACGUACAAGCAGUGGGAGCACGCUUAGGCGUGUGACUGCGUACCUUUUGUAUAAUGGGUCAGCGACUUAUAUUCUGUAGCAAGGUUAACCGAAUAGGGGAGCCGAAGGGAAACCGAGUCUUAACUGGGCGUUAAGUUGCAGGGUAUAGACCCGAAACCCGGUGAUCUAGCCAUGGGCAGGUUGAAGGUUGGGUAACACUAACUGGAGGACCGAACCGACUAAUGUUGAAAAAUUAGCGGAUGACUUGUGGCUGGGGGUGAAAGGCCAAUCAAACCGGGAGAUAGCUGGUUCUCCCCGAAAGCUAUUUAGGUAGCGCCUCGUGAAUUCAUCUCCGGGGGUAGAGCACUGUUUCGGCAAGGGGGUCAUCCCGACUUACCAACCCGAUGCAAACUGCGAAUACCGGAGAAUGUUAUCACGGGAGACACACGGCGGGUGCUAACGUCCGUCGUGAAGAGGGAAACAACCCAGACCGCCAGCUAAGGUCCCAAAGUCAUGGUUAAGUGGGAAACGAUGUGGGAAGGCCCAGACAGCCAGGAUGUUGGCUUAGAAGCAGCCAUCAUUUAAAGAAAGCGUAAUAGCUCACUGGUCGAGUCGGCCUGCGCGGAAGAUGUAACGGGGCUAA